Non-coding RNA from Maylandia zebra (zebra mbuna), 210 nucleotides. Lineage: Eukaryota; Metazoa; Chordata; Actinopteri; Cichliformes; Cichlidae. The record is from RefSeq and is a predicted model, not a curated record.
GGAGAGCUACGUUCCAUCGGGCUGCGGUCACUGCAGCAGCCGUGGUUUGUGUUUCAAGUAGCUCCGGUGCGUCAUCUGCCUACCCGCAUACCUCGGCUUCGUCUCAUCUCUUCGGUGUUAAUCUCCUGGCACAUUUUUAUCUAUCACUGUAUAUAGCCCCCUUCCUUGUAAAUAUUCCCUAUUCUUGUAUAUAAACUUGCAUCACAACUA